UACAGAGGGUGCGAGCGUUAAUCGGAAUUACUGGGCGUAAAGCGCGCGUAGGCGGCUUUGCAAGUCGGGUGUGAAAUCCCCAGGCUUAACCUGGGAACUGCAUUCGAGACUGCAUUGCUAGAGUAUGGGAGAGGGAAGUGGAAUUUCCGGUGUAGCGGUGAAAUGCGUAGAUAUCGGAAGGAACAUCAGUGGCGAAAGCGACUUCCUGGACCAAUACUGACGCUGAGGCGCGAAAGCCAGGGGAGCGAACGGG
RNAcentral lists this ribosomal RNA (253 nucleotides) under uncultured bacterium. Its description in RNAcentral is "partial 16S ribosomal RNA". It matches the Rfam family "Bacterial small subunit ribosomal RNA", at positions 524 to 776 of the family's 1533-position model. The record is from RNAcentral.